This 253-nucleotide ribosomal RNA is filed under the name uncultured bacterium. Its description in RNAcentral is "partial 16S ribosomal RNA". It matches the Rfam family "Bacterial small subunit ribosomal RNA", at positions 524 to 776 of the family's 1533-position model. The record is from RNAcentral.
UACGUAGGGGGCAAGCGUUGUCCGGAUUUAUUGGGCGUAAAGAGCGUGUAGGCGGCCACACAGGUCAGCUGUGAAAACUCGAGGCUCAACCUCGAGACGUCGGUUGAAACCGUAUGGCUAGAGUCCGGAAGAGGAGAGUGGAAUUCCCGGUGUAGCGGUGAAAUGCGCAGAUAUCGGGAAGAACACCCGUGGCGAAGGCGGCUCUCUGGGACGGUACUGACGCUGAGGAGCGAAAGUGUGGGGAGCGAACAGG